Heterocephalus glaber (naked mole-rat) is the source of this 3165-nucleotide long non-coding RNA. NCBI's taxonomy places the organism in Eukaryota, Metazoa, Chordata, Mammalia, Rodentia, Bathyergidae. The record is from Ensembl.
AAAGUUUUAAAUAGUCUUAUUUAUAAUUAUAAACCUAAAAUUAUAAAGAGAUUAUAAUUCCAUUGGGCUAAAUAUAUUUGAGUGCACUCUAGUUUUAGAAAUUGUCUUAUAUCUUUGUUUUUGUCCAAUCAUACAGCUGUUUUGUUUAUAGAUAAAGGUUAUUAAGUUCAAGGCAUGCUCCCCUUGGUGAACAAAGGAGUGGCCGCAUGGAAAUAUUUUCCAGUCUUUGUUCACUAGGGGGACCUCAACAGUUUUCAUCUUACAACAGACUGACCUGAUGGUUUUCAUAGCCUUAUAAAAGACUUACAGGAAUAAAUAUUAUUUAAAUAUAUUAUUAUACUGUUUAUAUCAAUUGUCAUCAAAGGGAUAAAUUCUAAAUAUGUUAUUAUGGUGUGCUUACAUUGGUCAUUUUCAAAGGACUAAAUAUCCUGUAAAAAACAACAAUAACAAGGUUUUAUUUUUUCUAGUGUACUAAAUGUAUUUAUACUUUCUGACUGUACAGGUUUUCUAAUAUUUGUUUAUGAUAAUAACCUCUUUUUGAUUCAGGUAUUUGCCUUUUCAUACACUCUAGCUAUUUAUGAUAACAGAUACAUAUAUGGGGUAUUUUCUUUAGAUGGUAUCCUAUCAAAAGAUUAUUUAUUUAUUUUUUAAAAGAUAAUUUAGGUAAAAACUUUUGGUGUUUUAAAAAAAAUGAGUACAUUUAAUGAUGGCUAUUUUAUAUCAAGGUGGACAUUUAAAUGUGUUACAAAGGUAAAGUCAUCAUAAUUGUCAUGUUAAAAUAUUAUUUGUGGCUCUUUUUCUGUUAAUAUUCUACAGAAAUUCAACUACUAAAAAACAACCAUGACUGAUGACAGUAACAGUUCUCUAUAUUUUAAAUUCCAAAAUGUUUGUUAUUCAGGUAAAACUAUAAUAGUUAAGUUCAUUAUUCUUGUUACAAUGCUAAUGCUAUUGACCUUCUCUUCUGGGUGUUCAACAACUAAAGUUUGGAGACCAAAACUAAAAGGUAACUGGGCUAUGAGGACAGCCAAUAUUUUGGCCCUGGCCCCUCAAGGUCAACAAAGUUCCAGGACAUGAGGGAACCUUCUCUACAGGGUCCUACAUCUUUGAAACGAUUGAGGACAUUCACCAGCCAGACAGUCACAGAGUUCAUCAUGGCAGGGAACCAGCCAGUACGGCAAAAGGAAGAGGUCCCCACUUGCCACUGACCUCAUCAGAUCCAGGUCUAGCCCCGAUCUUCGCCCCUUGUCAGCAGAAAGCAGCUCCAAAAAAAGAGACCUUCGCCCAACUAUCAUAAAACAAAAGCCUGGAAUGAUAGGUCUCCCACCACCUCAGCAGCUAUUAAAUAUAGUAGCUGCCCUCUUCCUAUGGUGCCUUGCCCCCUCCCCUGUGUGACAUCAUGCCAAGAUGGUUGCUCCCACCAAAGAACAAACCCUUCUUCCCAGCAUGCCCCUGUUCCCACCUAGACAGUAACCUAAUACUCGCUCACCUCCUACCACCUAGUGACAUCACCGGCUCCUCCAUUCCCUAGUCACUACCUCAUUCAACCCUGCCUCAGCCCCUACAAGCCCCACCCCAGUCUCUAUAAAAGACUCUCCCUGCCCCAGCCAUAUUGCUUUUGUCUCUCCUUUGUUCAGAGACAGCCCGGCAGAUCUAUUCCCCUAAUAAAGGCUUGUUGUGGCCUGGUCUGGUCUUGGUCUUCGGCCCUUUUACCUGACAGUGAGUAUGGGGUAUCCUUUUAGGUUUUAGGUACAAAAUGAGACCCUAUCUCAAAAAAACAAAAAAGAGAAACAUAUGUACCACUCCCAUUUAUGGGUUGGGACCCUGGUAUCUAGUAGUUCUUUGUUUUUUUACCUGUAAUGCUGCUACUAAAUGGACUUUCCCCCUAGAGUCCUUAGUACUCUUCUGCUUUUGCUCUGUCACUGCUGCACACAUUAAUGUAUUUUGUAAUCCAUAAUUUUUAUUGUCAAUGAUGUUGUCUGUAUUGUUGACUACCUUGUAUAGAGUUUUCUCUUUACUAACAGAAGACCUAGAGGAAAGAACAAACCCAUUUGUGUAUUUUUCUUGGUUCUUCCCUUCUCUUCCUCCAUGACUAGCCCUGUACCAAAUCCUUGCCAUAUCUGACUAGAAGGCUGUCCUCAACUUGAGGCAACUUAGUGGGCCACCACUAUUUCCCUAGCCUGUCAUACCUCCAGAAGUGCUGACUCUUUUAAUAGGCCUCAGAUGGGACCACAGUGGUAGGUUUUCUCCUAAGACACCAGGGAGCUCUUCCUUUGAUUCAGAUAGCAACUAUGGAUAUCUCAGACCCUGGAUUGCUUUUUAUUUUAUUGUACUGGGAACUGAACUCAGGACCUUGCACUUGCCAGGCAAGCGUGGCACCACUGAGCUACAUCCUUAGUCCUGGAUUGCUUUUAAUCACAGCUAAAAAUCUAUCUAAUUUAGGUCCUUUUGUACAGAUGACGAUUUUCAGGCAGUUUAUUCUCUUAAGCACAGAGACUUUGCAAGUGCUAGAAAGAGAGUUUGUCUUCCCUGUUUCAAACCAUAAAGACUUCAAUACUCUGAUUUCCUAUGAGGGAGAAGCUGAGCUGGACCUAGAUGUAACAUGGUCCCAAAGACUUGACUCAGAAACAGUUUCAAUUAAGUGUUCUUAAGUCACCUUCUGUUUAUGUCUCAAGUCUACAAAAAAAAUGUGUGGGUUUCAUGCCCUUUAAUUAUUUGGGGAAAAAAACUUCCAUAGAAAUAUAAGAUACAUAUUUUAUGAGCAACUUGGGGUUUUUUAAUAUGUAAAUCCUACUAAAGACUAUGGUUUAUUUUUUGUGUACUGCUGGAUUGCAUAACAUACAGAAAACUCUCUGGCGUUUUACUUCACAAGAAAACAAGAGACAAUGUGAUUCUAGAAGUAGCAGAGGAAGUAGGGAUACAUUAAAUCAGUCGAGCUAAGGCCACGUAACUUCAGAGGUGAACAGCAAAAGAUCUGAGGGCUGCACCUCCAAGGGAUGAAACGACUCAGCCUCCUGCCUACUACUCUCCCACCACAAGAUGGCAGGAUUCCCCUUGCCCGAAAUCUUCCAUAAAAGGAUAAGUGAUUUCCAGAGUGUGUAUCUUCUUUUGUGCUUAAUAAUGGUGUCAGACUGUCUUGUGUAUGACAUCAUCUAUGUUUCUAGGAAC